AUUGAACGCUGGCGGCAGGCCUAACACAUGCAAGUCGAGCGGAGCGGCGGACGGGUGAGUAAUGCCUAGGAAUCUGCCUGGUAGUGGGGGAUAACGUCCGGAAACGGGCGCUAAUACCGCAUACUAUCAGAUGAGCCGAGGUCGGAUGAGCUAGUUGGUGGGGUAAAGGCCUACCAAGGCGACGAUCCGUAAGUGGUCUGAGAGGAGGAUCAGUCACACUGGAACUGAGACACGGUCCAGACUCCUACGGGAGGCAGCAGUGGGGAAUAGUGGACAAGGGGGGAAAGCCGGAUCCUGCCAGGCCGCGUGUGUGAAGAAGGUUUUCGGAUUGUAAAGCACUUUAAGUUGGGAGGCGUGACCAACAUAAUAAGCACCGGCUAACUUCGUGCCAGCAGCCGCGGUAAUUC
RNAcentral lists this ribosomal RNA (407 nucleotides) under uncultured bacterium. RNAcentral describes it as "partial 16S ribosomal RNA". It matches the Rfam family "Bacterial small subunit ribosomal RNA", at positions 29 to 526 of the family's 1533-position model. The record is from RNAcentral.